This 497-nucleotide ribosomal RNA is filed under the name uncultured bacterium. RNAcentral's name for it is "partial 16S ribosomal RNA". It matches the Rfam family "Bacterial small subunit ribosomal RNA", at positions 28 to 507 of the family's 1533-position model. The record is from RNAcentral.
GAUGAACGCUGGCGGCGUGCCUAAUACAUGCAAGUCGAGCGAACAGACGAGGAGCUUGCUCCUCUGACGUUAGCGGCGGACGGGUGAGUAACACGUGGAUAACCUACCUAUAAGACUGGGAUAACUUUGGGAAACCGGAGCUAAUACCGGAUAAUAUAUUGAACCGCAUGGUUCAAUAGUGAAAGACGGUUUUGCUGUCACUUAUAGAUGGAUCCGCGCCGCAUUAGCUAGUUGGUAAGGUAAUGGCUUACCAAGGCGACGAUGCGUAGCCGACCUGAGAGGGUGAUCGGCCACACUGGAACUGAGACACGGUCCAGACUCCUACGGGAGGCAGCAGUAGGGAAUCUUCCGCAAUGGGCGAAAGCCUGACGGAGCAACGCCGCGUGAGUGAUGAAGGUCUUCGGAUCGUAAAACUCUGUUAUUAGGGAAGAACAAAUGUGUAAGUAACUAUGCACGUCUUGACGGUACCUAAUCAGAAAGCCACGGCUAACUACGUG